This is a non-coding RNA of Coffea arabica (coffee), 107 nucleotides long. Lineage: Eukaryota; Viridiplantae; Streptophyta; Magnoliopsida; Gentianales; Rubiaceae. The record is from RefSeq and is a predicted model, not a curated record.
AUUUGAUGCUGUGGGCAUCUAGUGCACAAUUUAUUGAACCUUUCCCAAUAGUUAUAUAGGGAUUCUCUAGAAUACUGCUUAAUGUUGCAAAUCUCUUUUGUCAGACU